Molecule: ribosomal RNA, 440 nt
Filed under: uncultured bacterium
Lineage: Bacteria
Description: partial 16S ribosomal RNA
Rfam family: Bacterial small subunit ribosomal RNA
Source: RNAcentral
CCUACGGGAGGCAGCAGUGGGGAAUAUUGCACAAUGGGGGAAACCCUGAUGCAGCGACGCCGCGUGAAGGAAGAAGUCUCUCGGUAUGUAAACUUCUAUCAGCAGGGAAGAAAAUGACGGUACCUGACUAAGAAUCCCCGGCUAACUACGUGCCAGCCGCCGCGGUAAUACGUAGGGGGCAAGCGUUAUCCGGAUUUACUGGGUGUAAAGGGAGCGUAGACGGUCCUGCAAGCCAGAUGUGAAAGCCCGGGGCUCAACCCCGGGACUGCAUUUGGAACUGUAAGGCUAGAGUGUCGGAGAGGCAGGCGGAAUUACGAGUGUAGCGGUGAAAUGCGUAGAUAGUAGGAGGAACACCAGUGGCGAAGGCGGCCUGCUGGACGAUGACUGACGUUGAGGCUCGAAAGCGUGGGGAGCAAACAGGAUUAGAUACCCUUGUAGUC